Molecule: ribosomal RNA, 471 nt
Filed under: uncultured bacterium
Lineage: Bacteria
Description: partial 16S ribosomal RNA
Rfam family: Bacterial small subunit ribosomal RNA
Source: RNAcentral
GACGAACGCUGGCGGCGUGCUUAACACAUGCAAGUCGAACGGAAAGGCCCUGCUUGCAGGGUGCUCGAGUGGCGAACGGGUGAGUAACACGUGGGUGAUCUGCCCCUUACUUUGGGAUAAGCCUGGGAAACUGGGUCUAAUACUGGAUAGGACCAUGCUGUAGGUGGUGUGGUGGAAAGAUUUUUUCGGUAAGGGAUGAGCUCGCGGCCUAUCAGCUUGUUGGUGGGGUAAUGGCCUACCAAGGCGUCGACGGGUAGCCGGCCUGAGAGGGUGGACGGCCACAUUGGGACUGAGAUACGGCCCAGACUCCUACGGGAGGCAGCAGUGGGGAAUAUUGCACAAUGGGCGCAAGCCUGAUGCAGCGACGCCGCGUGGGGGAUGACGGCCUUCGGGUUGUAAACUCCUUUCAGCCAUGACGAAGCCUCUUUUGGGGUGACGGUAGUGGUAGAAGAAGCACCGGCUAACUACGUG